GCCAUGCCGCGUGGGUGAAGAAGGCCUUCGGGUUGUAAAGCCCUUUUGUUGGGAAAGAAAAGCAGUCGGUUAAUACCCGAUUGUUCUGACGGUACCCAAAGAAUAAGCACCGGCUAACUUCGUGCCAGCAGCCGCGGUAAUACGAAGGGUGCAAGCGUUACUCGGAAUUACUGGGCGUAAAGCGUGCGUAGGUGGUGGUUUAAGUCCGUUGUGAAAGCCCUGGGCUCAACCUGGGAAUUGCAGUGGAUACUGGGUCACUAGAGUGUGGUAGAGGGUAACGGAAUUCCCGGUGUAGCAGUGAAAUGCGUAGAGAUCGGGAGGAACAUCUGUGGCGAAGGCGGCUACCUGGACCAACACUGACACUGAGGCACGAAAGCGUGGGGAGCAAACAGGAUUAGAUACCCUGGUAGUCCACGCCCUAAACGAUGCGAACUGGAUGUUGGGUGCAAUUUGGCACGCAGUAUCGAAGCUAACGCGUUAAGUUCGCCGCCUGGAGAGUACGGUCGCAAGACUGAAACUCAAAGGAAUUGACGGGGGCCCGCACAAGCGGUGGAAUAUGUGGUUUAAUUCGAUGCAACGCGAAGAACCUUACCUGGUCUUGACAUCCACGGAACUUUCCAGA
Molecule: ribosomal RNA, 622 nt
Filed under: Xanthomonas sp. Ri1Ps_4751
Lineage: Bacteria; Pseudomonadati; Pseudomonadota; Gammaproteobacteria; Lysobacterales; Lysobacteraceae
Description: bacterial SSU rRNA
Rfam family: Bacterial small subunit ribosomal RNA
Source: RNAcentral